This 257-nucleotide ribosomal RNA is filed under the name uncultured prokaryote. RNAcentral's name for it is "partial 16S ribosomal RNA". It matches the Rfam family "Bacterial small subunit ribosomal RNA", at positions 524 to 780 of the family's 1533-position model. The record is from RNAcentral.
UACGGAGGAUGCGAGCGUUAUCCGGAUUUAUUGGGUUUAAAGGGUGCGUAGGCGGCCUUGUAAGUCAGCGGUGAAAUUUUGCAGCUUAACUGUAAAAGUGCCGUUGAUACUGUGAGGCUAGGAUUUGGUUGCUGUGGGUGGAAUGUGUGGUGUAGCGGUGAAAUGCUUAGAGAUCGCACAGAAUAUCGAUUGCGAAGGCAGCUCACAAAGCCAAGAUUGACGCUGAGGCACGAAAGUGUGGGGAUCAAACAGGAUUA